AUACGUAGGGAGCGAGCGUUGUCCGGAAUUACUGGGCGUAAAGGGCGCGUAGGCGGCGCUUCAAGUCGUCUGUCAAAUGGAAGGGCUUAACCCUUUUUCGCAGACGAAACUGGAGAGCUUGAGAAGCAGAGAGGCAAACAGAAUUCCUGGUGUAGCGGUGAAAUGCGUAGAUAUCAGGAAGAAUACCAGUGGCGAAGGCGGUUUGCUGGCUGCAUACUGACGCUGAAGCGCGAAAGCCAGGGGAGCGAACGGGAUUAGAUACCCCGGUAGUCCUGGCAGUAAACGAUGUAUGCUGGGUGUGAGACUAGCGAUAGUUUCGUGCCGAAGUUAACGCGAUAAGCAUACCGCCUGGGGAGUACGGUCGCAAGAUUGAAACUCAAAUGAAGUGACGGG
RNAcentral lists this ribosomal RNA (393 nucleotides) under uncultured bacterium. Its description in RNAcentral is "partial 16S ribosomal RNA". It matches the Rfam family "Bacterial small subunit ribosomal RNA", at positions 523 to 917 of the family's 1533-position model. The record is from RNAcentral.